RNAcentral lists this ribosomal RNA (200 nucleotides) under uncultured bacterium. Its description in RNAcentral is "partial 16S ribosomal RNA". It matches the Rfam family "Bacterial small subunit ribosomal RNA", at positions 28 to 226 of the family's 1533-position model. The record is from RNAcentral.
GACGAACGCUGGCGGCGUGCUUAACACAUGCAAGUCGAACGGAAAGGCCCUGCUUUUGUGGGGUGCUCGAGUGGCGAACGGGUGAGUAACACGUGAGUAACCUGCCCUUGACUUUGGGAUAACUUCAGGAAACUGGGGCUAAUACCGGAUAGGAGCUCCUGCUGCAUGGUGGGGGUUGGAAAGUUUCGGCGGUUGGGGAU